Molecule: ribosomal RNA, 301 nt
Filed under: uncultured bacterium
Lineage: Bacteria
Description: partial 16S ribosomal RNA
Rfam family: Bacterial small subunit ribosomal RNA
Source: RNAcentral
CAGCACCGCGGUAAUACGUAGGGUGCGAGCGUUAAUCGGAAUUGCUGGGCGUAAAGCGUGCGCAGGCGGUUAUAUAAGACAGAUGUGAAAUCCCCGGGCUCAACCUGGGACCUGCAUUUGUGACUGUAUAGCUAGAGUACGGUAGAGGGGGAUGGAAUUCCGCGUGUAGCAGUGAAAUGCGUAGAUAUGCGGAGGAACACCGAUGGCGAAGGCAAUCCCCUGGACCUGUACUGACGCUCAUGCACGAAAGCGUGGGGAGCAAACAGGAUUAGAUACCCCAGUAGUCCCUGUCUCUUAUACA